RNAcentral lists this ribosomal RNA (484 nucleotides) under uncultured bacterium. RNAcentral describes it as "SSU rRNA". It matches the Rfam family "Bacterial small subunit ribosomal RNA", at positions 26 to 518 of the family's 1533-position model. The record is from RNAcentral.
AGGACGAACGCUGGCGGCGUGCUUAACACAUGCAAGUCGAACGAGGCUCUACCAGUGGCAACACUGGGAACGGCCUAGUGGCGAACGGGUGAGUAACACGUGAGGAACCUGCCCCGAAGACCGGGAUAACCCUCCGAAAGGAGAGCUAAUACCGGAUGCCCCCACCGAAUCGCAUGGUUUGGUGAGGAAAUGGAUUCCGCUUCGGGAGGGUCUCGCGGCCUAUCAGCUAGUUGGUGAGGUAACGGCCCACCAAGGCAUCGACGGGUAGCUGGUCUGAGAGGACGAUCAGCCACACUGGGACUGAGACACGGCCCAGACUCCUACGGGAGGCAGCAGUGGGGGAAUCUUGCGCAAUGGGCGAAAGCCUGACGCAGCAACGCCGCGUGGGGGAUGAAGGCUCUCGGGUUGUAAACCCCUUUCAGUAGGGACGAAUCAAGACGGUACCUACAGAAGAAGCCCCGGCUAACUACGUGCCAGCAGCCGC